AGGGGUAUAGCUCAAUUGGUAGAGUAGCGGUCUCCAAAACCGUUGGUUGAGGGUUCGAAGCCUUCUACCCCUGCCA
This 76-nucleotide transfer RNA is filed under the name Clostridium luticellarii. RNAcentral describes it as "tRNA-Trp". It matches the Rfam family "tRNA". Rfam says of the family: Transfer RNA (tRNA) molecules are approximately 80 nucleotides in length. Their secondary structure includes four short double-helical elements and three loops (D, anti-codon, and T loops). The record is from RNAcentral. Lineage: Bacteria; Bacillati; Bacillota; Clostridia; Eubacteriales; Clostridiaceae. RNAcentral also lists the same sequence under 7 other names.